Drosophila melanogaster (fruit fly) is the source of this 2737-nucleotide non-coding RNA. NCBI's taxonomy places the organism in Eukaryota, Metazoa, Arthropoda, Insecta, Diptera, Drosophilidae. The record is from Ensembl.
UGUCUGCUGUCUUCAGCUGCCGUUGCCUUUUCUUCUCCUCUCGGUUUAUUCUUUUUUUUUCUUGUGUGUCUGUUUCGUUUUUAUGUUUUUUUGUUGGUUUUGGCGCUGUCGGAAAAUGUCCGUUGCCAUUUCCAUUGCAGCCGUCUUCCGUUUGGGCGCUGUCCCUCCGUCGUUUGCCAUGCCCCCGUGUAAUUAGCUGGGUUCCCUAUCUUCGACAUUGUCUGGCAUUUCUCGGGUAUUUAUGUACUUUGCUGCAGACAGGACAAGCUACAUACAAUUUGGUUCAAAUGCCAUUGAUCUUGAACUUGAUUCAACUCAUAAGUGCAUUCAUCAGACAAAUCUGUCGACAGACAUGCGUUUAUUUCCUUGACUCGUCGCCAGCAAAUAAUUUCAAGCUUGAGUUCGCAUUCAGUGGACUAGAAAGAAAGUCAAUGUCGAAGAGCCUCUAUUAAAUUAGCAUUUCGCUGUCGCCCUGGCACGCUCUUCCGAGUAAUGCCCAUUCCCAUGUCCCAGUCUCCACUGCAACUCCGGAUCCGGACGAGACGGCAUAUCUCCGGUGCUUGGCCAGCUGAUGAUGAUGACUGGAGAUUUCUGGCAGCGAACGGCGCCAGAGAAUCGUAAAAUAUUUUUAUACAAAUAUCGCAGCAGUUAGAACAAAAGAUUUGAUUUGAAAAUGUAACGCUUCACGCCUGCAAAAAUACCGACAAAGAAAUGUCACACAAAAGACAGUGGGAUGCAAGCAGAUCUCUGUUCAGAUACACUAGGUGGACCUUCGGAUAAAUCAGGUGUAAUUGCGUCAUGCGGGUGCAUGGUAAACUAGAUCGACAGUAAACCUAAUCGAGACAGAGACACAUAAGUUGACGCGACAUCGGCACAGCCCAUAAAGUGACCACGCUCCUUGGAUUCCAAGGAUUCCCAGGACAGGUCGUUUUGCGGUGUGUCUCGCCUUGCUGGGUGUGAAGUGUCCCGUGGGCGGCGGUGUCUUUAGUUGCUCAAGAUGCAUGUACCUGAGCACAGUCGUCUGUCGCCAAUUGAAGUAAUAAUUUUCUAUUGUCCUUCGUCGCGCCUUCCUCCAUAAAGCAAAUGUACUUCAGAGCACUGAGAAGGACGCGACAAGUGGCUGGCUCUGGGUACUCUGUUCGGUUCAAGUAGCCAAGUGGCGCCAGACGAUCCAAGUCCCUCGGCCAGAGGACAUCUUUGUGAGUCCGCUAUCUGCCGCCUUGGAUCUGCAGAUGCUGAACGGUAGCGGUCAAGCUGCCAGAGGUUGACAACGACAUAUGUUCGUGCUGGAUAAGAUUGGGCCAGAGAAGAUUAGCUGCCGGGGAGAAGGGAUUUGGAUUGGGUAUACGGGUGGACGGAAGCUCUCGAACAACCCACACAAUCUCUUAGGCAAAAGGUUACAUUUCCCCAGUUCGACAGAUCAAUAAAUCAUGGACAACCCUAAUUAACCAGUUCGUGGCCACGAAAACCCGUGUGUCACCUGCCUGGAUGCUCGAAAGAUCAGAUGAUCGUGAGCUGCCAAAACUACAAGUUACACAUAAUUUACCACGGACAAAAGGCAAAUGUCAUAAAAUAAUAUAAAUGAUAUAAACGACACUGUCUGCGCCUAAUAAGACAGGGCGUGGCCAAGUCCAGAAUCCAUAGUCCUGGGAAAACGGCAUGGGCAUCAAGAUGCAAACUACACGAUAAAGUUAGCUGGUUUUUUUUCUUGGUUUUUGGUAGAUACUAAGCCGGUGCUCAAGGUGCGUCGAGAGCAUCAUUAAGGCAGGAAGGCAAAGGUAACUACGGGACGGGAGUCCAGACCACAAGCAACGAUGAUUUAAUUUUCCAACACGCUUUCUACCACGCCAGCAUAAAGCAUCGUUGAAUCUCAAAAUCUGGGGUUUUGAAUUUGGAUUUUUCUCGUUUUUUUUUUUUUUUGCUUUUUGGUAUUCCAUGGAUGAUCGAUGGCCUGUCGUUGAGAUGAUCACUUUCUGUAGCUGCCUAGCGGCUACUAGUUGAGAUACUUAACGACGAUCCAAGAGGGCGCCACUCGGGCCUUAUAAUUUGUUAAGAUGUUUGGAUCGAUGGAUGGAUGGAUCGAUCGAUGGAUGAUUGGGGAUGCCUGGAUUGAUUGCCCUUUCUCUGCAUAAUAUUUAUAAUUCAUAAUAAAUAAUGAGGAUCGGUCUGGCAUGGACCAAACUGGAGCUCUCGAGACGGCGACAUCGACGCCUCCAAAUGCCAAAAUGGUAUUUUUCGUUGGACAGGACGGACUUUUGGACCAAGUUUGGCAAUUUAUGCGUCCAGAUUCGUGAUGUGUGUGGCAUAUAUGAAGCCCAGUCACAAGUUGCCUUUGACAAAUUCUCCAAGAAUGUGUCCGCAAGAUUUCAGGGCAUUGCAGCGGGCAUAUCAGCAAUGUAGUGCGGUUUGUUUCACUUCACAUAAGGAUUCAGUUAAUCUAGAGAUUAAGUACCCUUCUCUGGUUGAAUAUUACAAGCUAACUAUAUACUAUAUUAAACCGAAGAAAAAAAAAUAUUUCUCUGAACUUAUUUUAUGAAAAAGUUGAUAUAUAUUGAAAUAACAAGUUAUGAAAAGUUAAAUUAUAAAAACUAAGACCUCAGCAAUCAUGUUUUUCCAGGAUCUGAUACUUAGUUGUUUUUAAUGAUUCCAAAUUGCACCUAAAUAGGUAUUUUAUGAGGCUAGUAUACUUUGAAUACUGUGAAUUUUUGUAAUAAAUGUUUCUAUUUAAAAAACUCUA